AUCCCGUUCCAGGGCCCGGCUGUGUGCCCAGGGCUCUUUUCCACCUUUCGCCAGGUUGCCAGACCCUUCUGGGCACCCGAGGCUGGAAGAAAGCAGAGUGUGGGGGGCCUGUCCUGAGAGGGGCAUCGUGACAGCUCGGCUUCGGAGGCUGGGUGGGCGCUGAGGGCCGGGGGGACCCAAGCACAGCAGCGCCCCCCCCCCGCCCUGGGCCCCCCUGCUCCCCGUGUCCUGGGCAUCACAGGGUGGAGAGCAUGCUUUGCAGCAAACUCGCGUGGAGUCGUGAAGGCCGCGAGCCGGAGUGUGGUCAGUGCCGCCGCGAGGCCCUAAGAUGGGCCCGUGUGGAGCCUAGACGUGCGCGCAGGUGGGCUGGCCCGGGUCAGGGGUUAGGCUCACACGGUGGGGCUUAUUCCCGGGGCAAGAGCUGUGUCCCCGUAAACCAGUGUCUAGAAGCAGGACUGACUGCGGCGGGCAGCGUUCCCUGAGACCUCAGAUCCCCAAGUAAUGACAUAAAUAUUUGCGUACUGAGCGCAGUCUCCGUUUUGGGGAACCCCUGUAACCCCGAGUUUGCCCACAGCGCUUCACUCCGUCUCUGUGUUUGCUGCCUGCAGGUGAGACGUGGUGAGACGUGAUCCCAAAUGUGCUUAGAGGAGAAGGGCGUGAGGAGAGCGUCUGCCGGAGUCCUCUGGGCGCACUCGGGGGUGCGCGUGUGCGUGUGCAAAUGGGUUUAAACUUGAAACGCAGGUUUCCUCGGUCCAUUCGUCUGCGGGCGGCUAGAAUUCAGUGACAGGGAAAGAGAGCUGCACAUGUGCCAAUAACUUGAGCAUGACUGACAGCCAGACGAAGUUGGUAUUCUUUCUGCAAUUCUGGAAACUUCUAGAAGAUAUGUUGGAAUGCUCUUUUGAAAAUAGUUCAUGUAGAAAUAGUGUUAUAUACACAAAAAUACCAAAAAAAAAAAAAAAAAAAAAAA
This 967-nucleotide long non-coding RNA is filed under the name Sus scrofa (pig). Its description in RNAcentral is "lncRNA (ENSSSCG00035018099.1)". The record is from RNAcentral. Lineage: Eukaryota; Metazoa; Chordata; Mammalia; Artiodactyla; Suidae.